AAGUCGUAACAAGGUUUCCGUAGGUGAACCUGCGGAAGGAUCAUUAAUGAUUGGUGGCUGUUGCUGACUAGUGUUUCUAGUAUGUGCACGCCACACCUUCAAUCCCACUUACACCUGUGCACCUUCUGUAAUAGAUCUAUGUGGAUACGGAGAUGUGAAAGUUUGCGCUCUCCUACUCUGUUGAAGCACAGUCUACUACGUUUUUUUUUUACACACACACACAAUAGUCAUUGAAUGUAUUUUUUUUAUUCUUAUGAUAAAAACAACUUUCAACAACGGAUCUCUUGGCUCUC
RNAcentral lists this unclassified non-coding RNA (293 nucleotides) under Waitea circinata. RNAcentral's name for it is "partial internal transcribed spacer region". The stretch from base 1 to 46 matches the Rfam family "Eukaryotic small subunit ribosomal RNA", at positions 1786 to 1831 of the family's 1831-position model. The record is from RNAcentral. Lineage: Eukaryota; Fungi; Basidiomycota; Agaricomycetes; Corticiales; Corticiaceae.